UUGGUGACAGAAAUUUCUGACUCCAGUGCCUAAGUUUACCGCUAAUAGUUGGCAUUUUCUGGCUAUUUGGCAGACUGGAAGCCAUCCAUCCAUCAUGGGAGACGUCAGCAUUUGUAUAGAUUUUCUUUUUCUUUUUUUCACUACAAAAUUUAUAGUCAGUGGUAACCAGUGUUUGUGGGGAAAUGGGUUCAGCAUGGAUUCUGUAGACAGAACCCAUCCUUCAGAAUAAACUGUCGGGUAGUGAACCACUGCCCUUCACCCUUUGCCUCAUGUUAUUAGUUACAGAAAGCAUUUGUAACCAAGGUAGCAAACAGCAGGGCUCUUGCAAAUCUGUAUACCUAGAGGGACAUGGAGUAGAGUAAGGACCCAGGACAGGGACAUCAAGGUUUAGAGGUUGUGUCUCAAACCACACAGUACCUCGGGAACCAAGAGGACACACACUGUCCUGGUGUAUGUCUCCAGAUGACACACACUGUUCGAUGCCCUUCCAUCAGAAUCAGGAACUUUGUCAUCCCACUCAAGACUUCUCUGGCUAUGAUGAUGUCUGGUUCUACCUGUCCCUUCUUUGGUGCUAAUAAUCAUUGCCUCUUUCUAACCACAAGGCUCUGGAACACAGAUGCACCGUCUCCAGUGAGCAGCCAGUACAGGGUGAGCAAAGGAGGGACCAUGAUAGGAAAAAGAGCUAAAUGAAAACUUUGGAAGGGUCUCUGGUCAGAAAUCAAGGUCCUAUCCAUAGACCACUAAUAGGAUUGUGUGUCUUUUCAGUGCCUGGGGAUUGACCCUAGAGCAUGCUGGGUAAGAGUUGGGCUGUGUUCCAGCUAAUCCUCUUUUGCUUUUUGUUCUUGUAAAAUUAAAAAAAAAAAAAAAAA
RNAcentral lists this long non-coding RNA (869 nucleotides) under Rattus norvegicus (Norway rat). RNAcentral's name for it is "long non-coding RNA NONRATT014637". Lineage: Eukaryota; Metazoa; Chordata; Mammalia; Rodentia; Muridae. The record is from RNAcentral.